RNAcentral lists this ribosomal RNA (632 nucleotides) under uncultured bacterium. RNAcentral's name for it is "bacterial SSU rRNA". It matches the Rfam family "Bacterial small subunit ribosomal RNA", at positions 28 to 649 of the family's 1533-position model. The record is from RNAcentral.
AUUGAACGCUGGCGGCAGGCCUAACACAUGCAAGUCGAGCGGUAGCACAGAGAAGCUUGCUUCUUGGGUGACGAGCGGCGGACGGGUGAGUAACGCGUGGGAAUCUACCUGGUAGUGGGGGACAACAGUCGGAAACGACUGCUAAUACCGCAUACGCCCUUCGGGGGAAAGUGGGGGAUCUUCGGACCUCACGCUAUCAGAUGAGCCCGCGUCGGAUUAGCUUGUUGGUGAGGUAAAGGCUCACCAAGGCGAUGAUCCGUAGCUGGUCUGAGAGGAUGACCAGCCACACUGGGACUGAGACACGGCCCAGACUCCUACGGGAGGCAGCAGUGGGGAAUAUUGGACAAUGGGGGCAACCCUGAUCCAGCCAUGCCGCGUGUGUGAAGAAGGCCUUCGGGUUGUAAAGCACUUUCAGCUGUGAGGAAAGGCGAGUGGUUAAUACCCGCUUGCUGUGACGUUAACAGCAGAAGAAGGACCGGCUAACUCCGUACCAGCAGCCGCGGUAAUACGGAGGGUCCGAGCGUUAAUCGGAAUUACUGGGCGUAAAGCGCGCGUAGGUGGUUCAGUCAGUCAGAUGUGAAAGCCCCGGGCUCAACCUGGGAACUGCACCUGAUACUGCUGAGCUAGAGUAC